GGGUUGUGAGGUUAAGCGACUAAGCGUACACGGUGGAUGCCCUGGCAGUCAGAGGCGAUGAAGGACGUGCUAAUCUGCGAUAAGCGUCGGUAAGGUGAUAUGAACCGUUAUAACCGGCGAUUUCCGAAUGGGGAAACCCAGUGUGUUUCGACACACUAUCAUUAACUGAAUCCAUAGGUUAAUGAGGCGAACCGGGGGAACUGAAACAUCUAAGUACCCCGAGGAAAAGAAAUCAACCGAGAUUCCCCCAGUAGCGGCGAGCGAACGGGGAGGAGCCCAGAGCAUGAAUCAGUGUGUGUGUUAGUGGAAGCGUCUGGAAAGGCGCGCGAUACAGGGUGACAGCCCCGUACACAAAAAUGCACAUGCUGUGAGCUCGAUGAGUAGGGCGGGACACGUGGUAUCCUGUCUGAAUAU
Molecule: ribosomal RNA, 414 nt
Filed under: Escherichia coli
Lineage: Bacteria; Pseudomonadati; Pseudomonadota; Gammaproteobacteria; Enterobacterales; Enterobacteriaceae
Description: partial 23S ribosomal RNA
Rfam family: Bacterial large subunit ribosomal RNA
Source: RNAcentral